This 692-nucleotide long non-coding RNA is filed under the name Rattus norvegicus (Norway rat). RNAcentral's name for it is "long non-coding RNA NONRATT016584". The record is from RNAcentral. Lineage: Eukaryota; Metazoa; Chordata; Mammalia; Rodentia; Muridae.
UCUUUUCUUUAUUUCGGAGCUGGGGACCGAACCCAGGGCUUUGCGCUUGCUAGGCAAGUGCUCUACCACUGAGCUAAAUCCCCAACCCCAUAAAUUUAUUUUGAGACCGGGUCUCAUUAUACCUCUGACUGAGCUUGGUACUUUCUACGAACCAAGGCUAGUCUGGAACUCACAGGUAUCUGCUGGUCUCUGCCUCCAAAGUACCAGGAUCUGUUAUUUAUUUCUUUGAAUGUUUUUGCCUGCAUGUAUAUAUGUGUAAUGUAUAAAUGCAGUGCUCAUGGAGGUCAGAAGAGGGUACCGGAACUUCUGGAACUAGGUAAAGACAUUUGUGAGUUAUUGCAUGACACUCUAACCACUGUGCUAUCUCUGUUGCCUCUUCAGUGUUCACUGGUUUUUAAUGAAGUGUGUAUACAUAUGUCAUAGUGUGCUGUUGCUGAAAAAGGCCAGAGUUAUUGGGUGCCCCGAAACAAACUGGGUCCUGUACAACAGUAGUACUUACUUUUAAUUUCUGACACAGCUUUUCUGCUCAUUUUAGAUUUUAUUCUUAUAUUUUAAAAAAAGAUUUAUUUUUAUGCAUACCUGUACAAGUGCCAAGGAGAUUAGAAGAGGUCAAUGAAUACCCCAGAGCUAAGGUUAUAGUUAGCUGUGAAUCUCAUGGCUAUCAGUUGCCCAACAUGGGUGCUAAGAACUAA